UUUGAAAAUAAGUAUACCCUAAAAGCACCAAAUCCCUUCUGAUCUUGCAAGCUAAGCAGGAUCACCACUGGUUAGUACUUGGAUGUGAGACCACCAAAGAAUAUCAGGUGCUAUAGAAU
Molecule: ribosomal RNA, 119 nt
Filed under: Anolis carolinensis (green anole)
Lineage: Eukaryota; Metazoa; Chordata; Lepidosauria; Squamata; Anolidae
Source: RNAcentral